Molecule: ribosomal RNA, 433 nt
Filed under: uncultured bacterium
Lineage: Bacteria
Description: partial 16S ribosomal RNA
Rfam family: Bacterial small subunit ribosomal RNA
Source: RNAcentral
AACGAACGCUGGCGGCAUGCCUAACACAUGCAAGUCGAACGAGACCUUCGGGUCUAGUGGCGCACGGGUGCGUAACGCGUGGGAACCUGCACUUAGGUUCGGUAUACCUCCCCGUAAGGGGUGCUCAUACCGGAUAAUGUCUUCGAACCAAAGAUUUAUCGCCUUUGGAUGGGCCCGCGUUGGAUUCGCUAGUUGGUAGGGUAAAAGCCUACCAAGGCCACGAUCCAUAGCUGGUCUGGGAGGAUGAUCAGCCACACUGGGACUGAGACACGGCCCAGACUCCUACGGGAGGCAGCAGUGGGGAAUAUUGGACAAGGGGCGAAAGCCUGAUACAGCAAUGCCGCGUGAGUGAUGAAGGCCUUAGGGUUGUAAAGCUCUUUUACCCGGGAUGAUAAUGACAGUACCGGGAGAAUAAGCACCGGCUAACUCCGUG